ACACAUGCAAGUCGAACGAAGCACCUUGAUUUGAUUCUUCGGAUGAAGAUCCUGGUGACUGAGUGGCGGACGGGUGAGUAACGCGUGGGUAACCUGCCUCAUACAGGGGGGUAACAGUUAGAAAUGACUGCUAAUACCGCAUAAGACCACAGCACCGCAUGGUGCAGGGGUAAAAACUCCGGUGGUAUGAGAUGGACCCGCGUCUGAUUAGGUAGUUGGUGGGGUAACGGCCUACCAAGCCGACGAUCAGUAGCCGACCUGAGAGGGUGACCGGCCACAUUGGGACUGAGACACGGCCCAAACUCCUACGGGAGGCAGCAGUGGGGAAUAUUGCACAAUGGGGGAAACCCUGAUGCAGCGACGCCGCGUGAGCGAUGAAGUAUUUCGGUAUGUAAAGCUCUAUCAGCAGGGAAGAAAAUGACGGUACCUGACUAAGAAGCACCGGCUAAAUACGUGCCAGCAGCCGCGGUAAUACGUAUGGUGCAAGCGUUAUCCGGAUUUACUGGGUGUAAAGGGAGCGUAGACGGAGUGGCAAGUCUGAUGUGAAAACCCGGGGCUCAACCCCGGGACUGCAUUGGAAACUGUCAAUCUGGAGUACCGGAGAGGUAAGCGGAAUUCCUAGUGUAGCGGUGAAAUGCGUAGAUAUUAGGAGGAACACCAGUGGCGAAGGCGGCUUACUGGACGGUAACUGACGUUGAGGCUCGAAAGCGUGGGGAGCAAACAGGAUUAGAUACCCUGGUAGUCCACGCCGUAAACGAUGACUACUAGGUGUCGGGCAGCAAAGCUGUUCGG
This 792-nucleotide ribosomal RNA is filed under the name uncultured bacterium. Its description in RNAcentral is "bacterial SSU rRNA". It matches the Rfam family "Bacterial small subunit ribosomal RNA", at positions 51 to 843 of the family's 1533-position model. The record is from RNAcentral.